UCCAGAGGGUGCUAGCGUUGUUCGGAUUUACUGGGCGUAAAGGGCGCGUAGGCGGUUUAGAAAGUCAGAUGUGAAAGCCCGGGGCUUAACUCCGGAAGUGCAUUUGAAACUUCUAGGCUAGAGUACAGUAGAGGUUGGUGGAAUUCCCAGUGUAGAGGUGAAAUUCGUAGAUAUUGGGAGGAACACCAGUGGCGAAGGCGGCCAACUGGGCUGUAACUGACGCUGAGGCGCGAAAGCGUGGGGAUCAAACAGG
Molecule: ribosomal RNA, 253 nt
Filed under: uncultured bacterium
Lineage: Bacteria
Description: partial 16S ribosomal RNA
Rfam family: Bacterial small subunit ribosomal RNA
Source: RNAcentral